This 483-nucleotide ribosomal RNA is filed under the name uncultured bacterium. RNAcentral's name for it is "partial 16S ribosomal RNA". It matches the Rfam family "Bacterial small subunit ribosomal RNA", at positions 28 to 506 of the family's 1533-position model. The record is from RNAcentral.
AUCGAACGCUGGCGGCAUGCUUUACACAUGCAAGUCGAACGGCAGCGCGGGCUUCGGCCUGGCGGCGAGAGGCGCACGGGUGAGUAAUGCAUCGGAACGUGCUCAGUUGUGGGGGAUAGCACGGCGAAAGCCGGAUUAAUACCGCCUACUACCUGCGGGUGAAAGCGGGGGACCGAAAGGCCUCGCGCUCUUGGAGCGGCCGAUGUCGGACUUGUCAGUUGGUGGGGUAGAGGCUUACCAAGGAGACGAUCCGUAGCUGGUCUGAGAGGACGGCUAGCCACACUGGGACUGAGACGCGGCACAGACUCCGACGGGAGGCAGCAGUGGGGAAGUUUGGACAAUGGGGGCAACCCUGAUCCAGCCAUGGCGCGUGCGGGAAGAAGGCCUGCGGGUUGUAAACCGCUUUUGUUCGGGAAGAAAGCCUCUGGGCUAAUACCCCGGGGGGAUGACGGUACCGGAAGAAUAAGCACCGGCUAACUACGU